RNAcentral lists this ribosomal RNA (856 nucleotides) under uncultured Planctomycetota bacterium. RNAcentral's name for it is "bacterial SSU rRNA". It matches the Rfam family "Bacterial small subunit ribosomal RNA", at positions 58 to 922 of the family's 1533-position model. Lineage: Bacteria; Pseudomonadati; Planctomycetota. The record is from RNAcentral.
CAAGUCGAACGAGAACCUUUGGGCAACUGAAGGGGAAAGUGGCGAAAGGGGCAGUAAUGUAUGGGUAACUUACCCCGGGGACGGGGAUAGCCUUCCUAACGGAAGAGUAAUACCUGGCGAUCUGGCGAGGACGCAUGUUCUUGCCAGGAAAUGAAUUUCGCCUCGGGAGGGGCUCAUAUAGUAUUAGCUUGUUGGUGGGGUAACGGCCUACCAAGGCUCAGAUGCUUAGCGGGUGUGAGAGCACGACCCGCGCCACUGGCACUGAGACACUGGCCAGACUCCUACGGGAGGCUGCAGUCGAGGAUCUUCGGCAAUGGGCGCAAGCCUGACCGAGCGACGCCGCGUGUGCGAUGAAGGCCUUCGGGUUGUAAAGCACUGUCGAGGGGGAGGAAAGCCGCAAGGCUUGACCUAUCCCUGGAGGAAGCACGGGCUAAGUUCGUGCCAGCAGCCGCGGUAAGACGAACCGUGCGAACGUUGUUCGGAAUCACUGGGCUUAAAGGGCGCGUAGGCGGUUGAUCAAGUCUGGGGUGAAAUCUUUCGGCUUAACCGGAAAAGUGCCUUGGAUACUGGUCAGCUGGAGGGAGGUAGGGGCAGUUGGAACUUCCAGUGGAGCGGUGAAAUGCGUUGAUAUUGGAAGGAACGCCGGUGGCGAAAGCGAGCUGCUGGACCUCUUCUGACGCUGAUGCGCGAAAGCUAGGGGAGCAAACGGGAUUAGAUACCCCGGUAGUCCUAGCCCUAAACGUUGGGUACUAGGUAGUGGACUUAACAUGGGUUCACUGCCGAAGCAAAAGUGUUAAGUACCCCGCCUGGGGAGUAUGGUCGCAAGGCUGAAACUCAAAGGAAUUGACGGGGGCUC